RNAcentral lists this ribosomal RNA (301 nucleotides) under uncultured bacterium. RNAcentral's name for it is "partial 16S ribosomal RNA". It matches the Rfam family "Bacterial small subunit ribosomal RNA", at positions 509 to 807 of the family's 1533-position model. The record is from RNAcentral.
CAGUAGCCACGGUAAUACGAAGGGGGCUAGCGUUGUUCGGAAUUACUGGGCGUAAAGGGCGCGUAGGCGGCCAUUCAAGUUGGAUGUGAAAGCCCUGGGCUCAACCUAGGAAUUGCAUUUGAUACUGUUUGGCUUGAGUUCGGGAGAGGUGAGUGGAAUUCCCAGUGUAGAGGUGAAAUUCGUAGAUAUUGGGAAGAACACCAGUGGCGAAGGCGGCUCACUGGACCGACACUGACGCUGAGGCGCGAAAGCGUGGGGAGCAAACAGGAUUAGAUACCCCAGUAGUCCCUGUCUCUUAUAC